Molecule: ribosomal RNA, 163 nt
Filed under: Lactarius subdulcis
Lineage: Eukaryota; Fungi; Basidiomycota; Agaricomycetes; Russulales; Russulaceae
Description: 5.8S ribosomal RNA
Rfam family: 5.8S ribosomal RNA
About the family: 5.8S ribosomal RNA (5.8S rRNA) is a component of the large subunit of the eukaryotic ribosome. It is transcribed by RNA polymerase I as part of the 45S precursor that also contains 18S and 28S rRNA. Functionally, it is thought that 5.8S rRNA may be involved in ribosome translocation.
Source: RNAcentral
AACUUUCAACAACGGAUCUCUUGGCUCUCGCAUCGAUGAAGAACGCAGCGAAAUGCGAUACGUAAUGUGAAUUGCAGAAUUCAGUGAAUCAUCGAAUCUUUGAACGCACCUUGCGCCCCUUGGUAUUCCGAGGGGCACACCCGUUUGAGUGUCGUGAAAACCU